RNAcentral lists this ribosomal RNA (472 nucleotides) under uncultured bacterium. RNAcentral's name for it is "partial 16S ribosomal RNA". It matches the Rfam family "Bacterial small subunit ribosomal RNA", at positions 28 to 507 of the family's 1533-position model. The record is from RNAcentral.
GACGAACGCUGGCGGCGUGCUUAACACAUGCAAGUCGAACGCUGAAGCUUGGUGCUUGUACUGGGUGGAUGAGUGGCGAACGGGUGAGUAAUACGUGAGGAACCUGCCCUUGACUCUGGGAUAAGCCUGGGAAACUGGGUCUAAUACUGGAUACGACAUGUCACCGCAUGGUGGUGUGUGGAAAGGGCUUUACUGGUUUUGGAUGGGCUCACGGCCUAUCAGCUUGUUGGUGGGGUAAUGGCUCACCAAGGCGACGACGGGUAGCCGGCCUUAGAGGGUGACCGGCCACACUGGGACUGAGACACGGCCCAGACUCCUACGGGAGGCAGCAGUGGGGUAUAUUGCACAAUGGGCGGAAGCCUGAUGCAGCGACGCCGCGUGAGGGAUGACGGCCUUCGGGUUGUAAACCUCUUUCAGCACGGAAGAAGCGAAAGUGACGGUACGUGCAGAAGAAGCGCCGGCUAACUACGUG